GCGGUCUGCCAGUCUGCUGUUGUCAGUUGAGGGAGUUCUUAGCUUAAACGUCUAUCUUUCUCCAUCUUCUAGUUUUUUGUUUUUUUUUUUUUCCUUAUAAGUAACUCAUGAAACAGCUCUCUCAAAACUUACAAAUUUAGAAGUUUCUCUUAUAUGAAGGCUCCAUCGUUUGGCUGUUAACAAGAUAUGUCUUAAUAGUGACUCAAAUCACUAAGACCCAAGAGGAGUCCCCACAAGAGAGGUGAAGGACUAGCCUUGAGAAGAUCUCGGCGGUUCACUCGGAAUGUCCAGGAAGGGAAAGACCUCUGUCUCCCGCUGCCACGAGGAAGGUCAAGAUGGCCUGAGAGUUGGACAGUCAGACAAACCCUGCUCAGAAUCCGGGUCUGUUUCACUGGCUGCCAAAUGUACACAGAGAUGUCCCUUCCGGAUGGCAAAGACCCAGUACCCAGACACAGGGCACACAGACACGAUGCCCGAGAGACACAGACACAGACACGGUGCCCGAGAGACACAGACACACCCGACGCAACCAGACAAACACCGAGAAAAUCAGCAAGGACAUUUGCAUCUCGAAGACACAGGGAGAGAAAUGCAAGUUCCCCCUGAAAGGACUGUUGUUUCUUUAAGAUCAGAAUUCUGAAAAGAUGUUUUUAUCAGACCAUCUUUUUCUCCGACUUAACUGCGGAGACAGCAAAAGAGCCCCCGUCUUAGUUACUCUAAUUCCCAACCGCGUAACCCUCGUAAGUAGGCGAUUCCUACGUCCACAGCUCUGGCGGGGGUAUCAGGUGGAAGCUGGCAGCUGGUCUUCCUUUUCCUUCUUGGUGUGAGAGCUCUGUUCCCAUCCCAAGGUCAGUGUGUCAAGACAGAGUGGCCGGGGAUGACCCUGUGGGGAGCUGAUGCGCUGUCCGAAAGCCCCUCUGGCUUUUCCCCGGGUCGCUUCAGCCCCGUGGGCUUCGGGAGCCUGGGGCCACCGCGGGGCUCUGCUGCGCCACCGCCAGCUCUUGGCGGGUCCCCGGCAGGAGAGUCCAGUGCGGAAGCGUGGGCGUCCCCACAGGGUGGCCGCAGGGGACGGGGACCAGGCCUCGCCUCCCUACUCCUCCCCUUUCCCUCCCGGCGCCUGGGAAAGCCGUGCCCGGCCCGACGAGCUCUCUCUUCUUCGGAGUUGAAAGCCCUCGGGAGGUAUCUUCCCUGUGACGCCGACAAACCCCAGGAAGGUAGCCCGUUCCGGGAACCGCAGCCGGCCAUUCUUCCUCCCGGUGACCUGAGUCCAGCCCCCUGGGUGUCUCUCGACGGGGCCUUCCCCGGUCUGACAGCUGAGGGCAGCCCAUUCAGCGUCCGUGCGGAGCAAGAGCAUCUGGCCAGUGUCUGCACCUGAGCAUGAGCCAAGCACCUCUUCUUGAAACCAAGCUUCCAGGAGGACCUCCUGCGCCUCCAGAGAGGCGUUUAACACCACCGAAUAAAACCUAGAAUCAGCAGCCAAUAAUGAGAGAUGGAGAAGCACAGGAGACUCACCCGGUGCAACUGGACGCUCGGAGAAGGAGAGGCCCGAGCCGCCUCCGCAGGUACCUCGGCUCUGGAGGCUGCCGCGUUCCGGCAACGGAGAGAAGCCUGCUCUGCAUCCCUCUGCGGUCACCAAAAGUGUAGACUGAAAAAAAAAAAAAAAAA
Molecule: long non-coding RNA, 1665 nt
Filed under: Sus scrofa (pig)
Lineage: Eukaryota; Metazoa; Chordata; Mammalia; Artiodactyla; Suidae
Description: lncRNA (ENSSSCG00015051905.1)
Source: RNAcentral